Molecule: ribosomal RNA, 1039 nt
Filed under: Salmonella enterica
Lineage: Bacteria; Pseudomonadati; Pseudomonadota; Gammaproteobacteria; Enterobacterales; Enterobacteriaceae
Also listed under: 1 other name
Description: partial 23S ribosomal RNA
Rfam family: Bacterial large subunit ribosomal RNA
Source: RNAcentral
AAUCCAUAGGUUAAUGAGGCGAACCGGGGGAACUGAAACAUCUAAGUACCCCGAGGAAAAGAAAUCAACCGAGAUUCCCCCAGUAGCGGCGAGCGAACGGGGAGGAGCCCAGAGCCUGAAUCAGCAUGUGUGUUAGUGGAAGCGUCUGGAAAGGCGCGCGAUACAGGGUGACAGCCCCGUACACAAAAGCGCAUGUGCUGUGAGCUCGAUGAGUAGGGCGGGACACGUGGUAUCCUGUCUGAAUAUGGGGGGACCAUCCUCCAAGGCUAAAUACUCCUGACUGACCGAUAGUGAACCAGUACCGUGAGGGAAAGGCGAAAAGAACCCCGGCGAGGGGAGUGAAAAAGAACCUGAAACCGUGUACGUACAAGCAGUGGGAGCACCCUUUGGGUGUGACUGCGUACCUUUUGUAUAAUGGGUCAGCGACUUAUAUUCUGUAGCAAGGUUAACCGAAUAGGGGAGCCGGAGGGAAACCGAGUCUUAACCGGGCGUUAAGUUGCAGGGUAUAGACCCGAAACCCGGUGAUCUAGCCAUGGGCAGGUUGAAGGUUGGGUAACACUAACUGGAGGACCGAACCGACUAAUGUUGAAAAAUUAGCGGAUGACCUGUGGCUGGGGGUGAAAGGCCAAUCAAACCGGGAGAUAGCUGGUUCUCCCCGAAAGCUAUUUAGGUAGCGCCUCGUGAAUUCAUCUCCGGGGGUAGAGCACUGUUUCGGCUAGGGGGCCAUCCCGGCUUACCAACCCGAUGCAAACUGCGAAUACCGGAGAAUGUUAUCACGGGAGACACACGGCGGGUGCUAACGUCCGUCGUGAAGAGGGAAACAACCCAGACCGCCAGCUAAGGUCCCAAAGUCAUGGUUAAGUGGGAAACGAUGUGGGAAGGCCCAGACAGCCAGGAUGUUGGCUUAGAAGCAGCCAUCAUUUAAAGAAAGCGUAAUAGCUCACUGGUCGAGUCGGCCUGCGCGGAAGAUGUAACGGGGCUAAACCAUGCACCGAAGCUGCGGCAGCGACACUGUGUGUUGUUGGGUAGGGGAGCGUUC